GAUUUCGUAGCUCAUUGGUAGAGUGCAUGCUCUGUGUGAAUGAUGUCCUGGGUUCAACCCCAAGCUUCUCCCGAGGUCG
Non-coding RNA from Dallia pectoralis (Alaska blackfish), 79 nucleotides. The record is from the annotation of a GenBank genome assembly. NCBI's taxonomy places the organism in Eukaryota, Metazoa, Chordata, Actinopteri, Esociformes, Umbridae.